Molecule: ribosomal RNA, 504 nt
Filed under: uncultured Geobacter sp.
Lineage: Bacteria; Pseudomonadati; Thermodesulfobacteriota; Desulfuromonadia; Geobacterales; Geobacteraceae
Description: bacterial SSU rRNA
Rfam family: Bacterial small subunit ribosomal RNA
Source: RNAcentral
ACUCCUACGGGAGGCAGCAGUGGGGAAUUUUGCGCAAUGGGGGAAACCCUGACGCAGCAACGCCGCGUGAGUGAUGAAGGCCUUCGGGUCGUAAAGCUCUGACAGAGGGGAAGAAAUGUGGGUGGCUAAUAUCCAUUCCACUUGACGGUACCCUCAAAGGAAGCACCGGCUAACUCCGUGCCAGCAGCCGCGGUAAUACGGAGGGUGCGAGCGUUGUUCGGAUUUAUUGGGCGUAAAGCGCGUGUAGGCGGUUUUAUAAGUCUGAUGUGAAAGCCCCGGGCUCAACCUGGGAAGUGCAUUGGAUACUGUAAGACUUGAAUACGGGAGAGGGUAGUGGAAUUCCUGGUGUAGGAGUGAAAUCCGUAGAUAUCAGGAGGAACACCGGUGGCGAAGGCGGCUGCCUGGACCGAUAUUGACGCUGAGACGCGAAAGCGUGGGUAGCAAACAGGAUUAGGUACCCUGGUAGUCCACGCUGUAAACGAUGAGAACUAGGUGUCGCGGGUA